CCCUUAGAUGUUCUGGGCCGCACGCGCGCUACACUGAUGCAUUCAACGAGCCUAGCCUUGACCGAGAGGUCCGGGUAAUCUUUGAAACUGCAUCGUGAUGGGGCUAGAUUAUUGCAAUUAUUAAUCUUCAACGAGGAAUGCCUAGUAAGCGUGAUUCAUCAAAUCGCGUUGAUUACGUCCCUGCCCUUUGUACACACCGCCCGUCGCUCCUACCGAUUGAGUGUGUUGGUGAGGAGUUCGGAUUGGCAGUAGGUGGUGGUUCGCCACCGCCUAUUGCUGAGAAGUUCUCCAAACCGCCCCACUUAGAGGAAGGAGAAGUCGUANCA
This 326-nucleotide ribosomal RNA is filed under the name uncultured eukaryote. RNAcentral describes it as "partial 18S ribosomal RNA". It matches the Rfam family "Eukaryotic small subunit ribosomal RNA", at positions 1470 to 1796 of the family's 1831-position model. The record is from RNAcentral.